AACGAACGCUGGCGGCAUGCCUAACACAUGCAAGUCGAACGAUACCUUCGUUUCUAGUGGCGCACGGGUGAGUAACGCGUGGGAAUCUGCCCUUCGUUUGGGAAUCACUGAGAGAAAUUUCAGCUAAUACCUUAUAAUGUCUUCGUACCACAGUUUUCUCGCCGAGGGAUGUGCCCGCGUAGGAUUAGGUAGUUGGUGGGGUAAUGGCCUACCAAGCCGACGAUCCUUAGCUGGUCGGAGAGGAUGAUCAGCCACACUGGCACUGAGACACGGCCCAGACUGCGACGGGAGGGAGCAGUGGGGAAUAUUGGACAAUGGGGGAAAGCCUGAUCCAGCAAUGCGGGGUGAGUGAGGAAGGCCUUAGGGUUGUAAAGCUAUUAUACCCGGGAUGAUAAUGACAGUACCGGGAGAAUAAGCUCCGGCUAACUCCGUG
RNAcentral lists this ribosomal RNA (433 nucleotides) under uncultured bacterium. RNAcentral's name for it is "partial 16S ribosomal RNA". It matches the Rfam family "Bacterial small subunit ribosomal RNA", at positions 29 to 507 of the family's 1533-position model. The record is from RNAcentral.